Molecule: ribosomal RNA, 381 nt
Filed under: uncultured eukaryote
Lineage: Eukaryota
Description: partial 18S ribosomal RNA
Rfam family: Eukaryotic small subunit ribosomal RNA
Source: RNAcentral
CAAUAGCGUAUAUUAAAGUUGUUGCGGUAAAAAAGCUCGUAGUUGGAUUUCUGCCGAAGAUAGCCGGUCGGGUCUUCGACCUUGUAUCUGGUUUUGUCUUUGGUAUCCUCAUAGGGAACGUUUCUGCGCUUUAUUGCGUGGUGCGGUAUCUAUGACUUUUACUUUGAGGAAAUUAGAGUGUUCACGGCAGGCAAACGCCUUGAAUAUAUUAGCAUGGAAUAAUAACAUAGGAUCUUCGUCCUAUUUUGUUGGUUUCUAGGGCUAAGAUAAUGAUUAAUAGGGAUAAUUGGGGGCAUCUGUAUCAACGCGUCAGAGGUGGAAUUCUUGGAUUGCGUUGCGACAAACUACUGCGAAAGCAUUUGCCAAGGAUGUUUUCAUUGA